Girardinichthys multiradiatus is the source of this 1405-nucleotide long non-coding RNA. RefSeq lists it as uncharacterized. Lineage: Eukaryota; Metazoa; Chordata; Actinopteri; Cyprinodontiformes; Goodeidae. The transcript is spliced from 3 exons. The record is from RefSeq and is a predicted model, not a curated record.
GCCUGGGGCAGUUUGUCGACCUAGGUGCGAGUAUCUGGCUGCAGCAUGCUUUUCUCUCAUGGACAGGCGGCUAGGGCUGCUGACAUUGGCUUGAUGGUUAGGAGGUAUGCUGAUCCGCUGGCUGUCGUGUCAGAUGGUGUUGGAGUUCACAGAUGCAAAGGGGACAGGUGCUUUGCAUUGACUAAUUACCUGGAGGUGUAUUUAGACUGGAAGCUGCCAGCACUUUGAUGCCUGAGUAUUAGCCACCAGUGAUUGUUUCCAGACCAGGUUGAGUUCAAGCUGGUUUCCAGACUCUUGUUAAAGAGCAUUCUCUGACUUCUGGAUAAGGAUUCAAGUCUCCAGUUAUUUCCUCUGCAUCAAGUUCAAGCUGGCAGCUUCCUGGCUCUUCGGCCAUCCGGAUCAAAUCAUAAGCGAAACCUGUCCACCCUCCAACCAACUCUCAUGCAAGUACCUCCAACCUGUACUCCUCACCAUCAAUCCACUCUCAUCACACAGUCCUGGAUCAGAGCUCCUAAGGAUCUACCUUCACAGAACCACUCCUGCGUUGUGCUCUCAGACCCCACAUCUCUCACCCCUCUGGCAGUCCAUCUUCCUCCCCCAGUACGCAUAGAGAGAAACUGGCUUUACAAUAACUGUUUAUUUCCUCUAGUCUUACCCUCUCCGCAUCUUCUGUGCAGUUGGGGAUUUACCGGUUCAGGAUCUCAAACCCAUCUCACUCCUGUGAAAAAUGUUUUAAACUUUCUAUUUAUCUCCUGAGUGUUAUUCUGCAUGUGGGUCAGAUCAUUAACAAAAACUAUGACAGAAUGUCCUCUUCUCUAUUUGAUUAACUGUCUUGUGAUACUGUCUGUACCCAAAGAUUUAGUGGCAAGUUGCACUUAUCCACUACCAUCUCCACCUGUGUAGUUCCCACCACAACCAAGCUGCAGCUAUCAUUCAUGAUUGGAGCAGUCUAAGGUGAUACUCAAGUCUAGCCUACAGCAUUAAGACAUACUCAGUAAUCCCUCAUGUCAGACUGUAAUGAACUGAGAGCACCUGGAGUGAUGGAUGGUCAUUGUUGCCCACAUUUCUUUAUUUGGCUUCAAGAUCUUCUUCAUCCUGUUACACUCAUUCUUUCAGAUGUGCCCUUUCUCAUUUAUUUCGCAUUGCUCCAUUUGUCUCCAGGUUUCUUCCUAUGUUUACUUUUGACUCCUCCCUCUGGCUUGACUUUAUUCUCAUGGAGGUGAUGAUUGGACCAAUCUCACUACAGCAAGCUCAAAAAGAACAAAAACUAUGAUUACACAAACUAGGUGUUAACAGAUACUGUCUGAUUACAAACACAAAGUGGUGUGGUACAAAAGAUUAUUCUUAAGACUGAACAGUUAUACUUGGAGGUUUGAAUUAAAACAAUGUUCUCAUUAUGCCCAAA